Long non-coding RNA from Sapajus apella (tufted capuchin), 300 nucleotides. RefSeq lists it as uncharacterized. Lineage: Eukaryota; Metazoa; Chordata; Mammalia; Primates; Cebidae. The record is from RefSeq and is a predicted model, not a curated record. The transcript has 3 exons.
CUCAGCAAAUGAACUCACCUCCUAAUUCGUUACAAUCGUUCUUACAAACUUAUCUAUAUUAAUGACUUGUUUUGAGGUAGGGUCUCCCUUUGUUGCCCAGGCUGGAGUGCAGUGGCACAAUCAAAGGUCACUGCUGGUCUUGAACUCCUGGACUCAAGUGAUCUUUCUGCCUCAGCCUCUCAGAGUUCUGGGAUUACAGGUGUGAGGCACCACACCCAGCCCAGAGUCUUGUAAUAGCAGAAUUGUUCAAGCAGAAGAAAGAAUUAGUGAGCCUGAGACCAGCUAUUUGAAAAUACACAG